Molecule: long non-coding RNA, 6199 nt
Filed under: Sus scrofa (pig)
Lineage: Eukaryota; Metazoa; Chordata; Mammalia; Artiodactyla; Suidae
Description: lncRNA (ENSSSCG00060007006.1)
Source: RNAcentral
GCGUGAAAGCAGUUUGGUUAUCUCUUAGAGACAAGUUCUGCAUGUACUUAGAAACCUAAGCUGUUCCAGCCUUUCCACAGCUUUACUUCCCUAUGUGAAAAGCCUGUAAAUUCUUAAGUUCUCAGUUCUUUAAUGCUGUCUCUUUUGGCACUGGUAGUGGAGAUGCUGGUUUUAUUAUUUGAGUUGUUUGAAAGGUCUUUCUUGUACCUUGGUUACUAGGUUACUACAUAUCUUUAUUAUUAGGCCUCUGUCUCGAGAGACUCAGCUGAGGAGGAAAAACAGAUGAAGAAAAAUAUGUAAUAAGCAUUGUAGUAAAAAAAGUUUCUUAGAGGAACUGACAUUUGACUUUAUUAAUUCUUUCAGCAAAUUUAACUAGGUACCUGCUAUGUGCCAAGUACAGCCUAGGCACUGGGGAUACAGUGAUUGAUAAUACAGGUGUGGUCCCUCCCUCCACGGAGCUUACUGUCUAGUGGUUCCAGACAGUGGAUUGCAGACAACAUGACCUCAGGGAAAUGGUCAUUACAUAGAGGUCAGGCAAAAUGCAGAGACUUCCCUUCAUACUCCAUGGUGGUAAAGUGGUAUUCCAUACUAUGAGAUUGAAAAAUAGCUAAUGAAGUUAUCUUGUAGGUUAUGUGGGACUGUGUACUCACUGAGAAGAAAGCUCUGGUGAAUCAGAUAGCUGCUGCCAUAGACUAAUUAAAAAGGGGUACAGGAGUGAUUGAGCCAUGAUAGAUGCCUUUAAUGGCAUGGGAUAAUUUAAAGCAAGCGGGUGACAUACUCACAUUGCAAAAGCGUUGCCUUAAUGGAAUGAAACUUAAAGCCUUUAUGGGAUAAUGUUGUAAAAAAUCUCUUGCAGCUUGUAGUCAUAUGGCUGAGGUAACUACCAUAUUCAGAGAUUGAUUCCAUGAUUUGGCAAAUUAUAUUAGUACAUGAGUUCACAUACUUUGCUAGACAUUUUGUGAAUGUCAGGUUAAAUUAGAUUAGGGAAGAGUGGGGUCUUGACAACUGGAAUAGCAGUAUGUGAGAGACAACAAGGCUUAGAGAACCCCAGACUCCUGGACGUACGUAAAACAGAGUUCACAACUGUGGCACUAUUAACAUUUUGGAAUGGAUUUUUUGUUGUUGUGGGGGGCUGCCCUGUGCAUUGUGAGAUGUUUAGCAGCAUUCUUGGCCUCUACCUACCAGACACCAGUAGCAGCCCAUCCUUGAAUCAUGGCAAUCAAAAACGUCUCCAGGUAUUGCCAAAUGCCUGUCCCCAAGGUGAGGCAGGGAAGGAAAUUGCCUCGGGUUUGAGAAACAUUGGAUAAGUGUUACCUGUUGUGCAAACCUUGCUUGAGGAAACUGUAACUUAUCGAGAGAGAGAACUGAGAAGUCAUCUCAUGCUUUCUCUCGUUGCUUGUCUGGUAAUUCAAAUUUAACAUUUUAUUUAAAUCGUUAAAAAUUUUGUAAAAGUAAAACAAAUAGCAAUCCUAGAAUCACUAUCCAUCAUUCACUGUGAAAUAUACAGUUCACUUCACACUUUCUACAUCUAGAUAUAUGUACACACAGACUUAAGUAAUAUGGGAUUGUAAAUCAACUAUAAUAAAAAAUUAAAAAAAUAAAACAACAUCAAGAGAGUAAUAUGGGAGUUCUCGCUGUGGUGCAUAUGUUAAUUAGCGAAUGUCACUGGAUCCUCCAACUGGAAUUCAAAAUGAAAUAAAAAAAAUGGACAUCCGAUGCUCUGAGAAUUUAAUACAUAAGUAUCUAUUUCACACAGGCUCUCAGAACGAUUUGUCAAACUAAUUAAUUUGUAUUUUCUCUUAGCGAAGUGCUUCUGCUGUUCACAUUCUUUCCAUAGCAAAGUCUGUCUGACAUAAGAGCACAACCCACACACCUACACAGCAUUCAGGGACAGUCACCUUUUAUUUAGAGGAGAAAGGAGGACAAGAGCAAGAGAUGUAGAGAAGCAUCUCCCUGGGGCUCAAAUGAAGUUAGAGGCACAAAAGGGACAUAUUUAAAGUUACAGAUGGUACUAUGCCAGUGCUGAGUGCGGCGACUUGAUAAGGAUACCCAUAUGGUCUUUCAUGAACUUAUUUUCUCUAUCUCUCUGAUAGGUGGGGCUCUCUUAACUAGUGGGGCCCAUGCGCCCAGUUCUAAGGCUGGUACUGGCUUUUAUCAUUCAGUGUCCACAUGCUUAGAUGGUCCUCCUGUUUCCCAGUUGGGUACCUGUUCCCACAGCUGUUCCAUCAUUCUGCCACCAGUUCCAGUUUUCUGUAGGAGUUAAUACCAUGAGGGAGGGGAGCUAGCACUCUAGCUCCUUUUCUUUUUUUUUUAAUAUUUAAAAUUUUUUUAUUUUGAAAUAAUUUUGAUUUACAAAAAUUUGCAAAGAUGGUACAGGCUUGGGUAUACUCUUCCCCAAGCUUCCCUGAAUGGUAAUAUCUUCCAUAAUCCAGCGGCAUUUACCAAAACCAAGAAAUUGCCGUGAGUGCAACACUGUGAAAACAUCACCGCAGACUUUAUUUGGAUUUCAACAGUUUUUUCGCCAGUUCCCUUUCUCUGUUUCAGGAUAUUACACUGCAUUCAGUAAUCAUGCUCCCUUGGUCUCCAAGCUGUGACAGUUUUUUCUUUGUCUUCCAUGGUCUUGGCGGUUUUGAAGAGUCCUGGUCAGGUAGUUUAUAGGCUGUCCUUCAAUUUGAGUUUGCCUAAUGUUUGGGUUUGCCAUGAUUACAUCAGGAAUAUGGAGGAAGAAAGUCACAGGGAUGAACUGCCUUUUUCAUUGUAUCCUAUCAGGAGUCCAUGACAGCAACACGACUUAUGACUGGUGACCUUAACCCUGAGUGCUCACUUGGCUAAAGUGGUGUCUCUGGUUUCUCUAGUUACUUGUAUCUUUCUUUCCAUACCCUGUUUUUUGGAAGAAAGUCACCAAGCCCAGCCAGCACUCCUCUAGGGGUGGGGAAUGUAUUUUAAAACUGCAUUCAUGGAGUUCCCAUUGUGGCUCAGAGGUAACAAACCUGAUUAAUAUCCAUGACGACGCAGGUUGGAUCCCUGGCCCUGCUCAGUGGGUUAAGGAUCCACUGUGAGCUGUGAGCUGUGGUGUUGGUGGCAGAUGCAGCUCGGAUCCACAUUAUUGUGGCUGUGGGUGUGGUGCAGGCCAGCAGCUACAGCUCUGAUUCAACCCCUAGCCUGGGAACUUCCAUAUUCUGGGGGUAGGCCCUUAAAAAGACCAAAAGAACCCCCAAAACAUAUCUGUAUUCUAUCAUUGCUUAUUUAAUAUCCCUUCUUACUACUCCCCACCUCCCACUUCUGGAAGUCCACUUAGCUCCUGCGCCUUUGUAAGAGUCUGUGAUACACAUCAACUUAGUUCUUGGCUUUUCCCACGAUAUUCGAAGUCGCUUUUCCUGCAUUCCAGUGUCCACAGUUUUAUUGCUGUUGUCUCCUUUUCUCUUUUUUCUGGAUUUAUGAGUUUAUGGGUUUUAAAAAUAUACCUUUACUGUGGUUUUAGUGGAAUUUCAGAGGAAGUGAAAUUGAAUUAUUAUGUUGAACUUGCCAUCUUUAUCUGGAAGCCUUGGGGAAAACAUUUCUUAAUUAUUAAAACUGACAUUUAAUCUGCAUUAUUUGCCAUUUCUUUUUUUGUCAUAAUUCUACCAUUGAUAUAAUCUGUGGAAUCAUUGAAUGCCUUUGUUUUUGGUACUAUUGCUAUGUUUCAUAAAACAUUGUGAUCAGUCAAAAAACGCAAUUCACAGCUAGAGAAAUUAGGCUUCUAGUAUUGGUUGAUGUUAUUGGCAGUGGUUAUCAAAGGUAAAUUAGAGUUAACUGCUGUAAGUGAGGUUUACACAGAGUCUAGAAUCUUCCUUUUACAUGCCCAGUUAUUAAGUUUCAAAAAAUAAAGCAGGCUAGGAUACCUCAGGAAUCAAAAUUUGAGUCACUUGUCCAGGAAAAGAACUUUAACUGACUUACACUGGGCAAAGGCAACCAUAGCUUAAAUGAGUAGAGGAGGGGAGUUAAAAUGUCCGCUGUGGGGGUAGUUCCCUUCGUGGCACAGUGGAAACGAAUCUGACUAGGGUCCAUAAGGAUGUGGGUUCAAUCCCUGGCCUCACUUAGUGCGUCGGGGAUCCAGCAUUGCUAUGAGCUGUGGUGUAGGUUGCAGACGCUGCUCUGAUCCCACGAUUGUUGUGGUUGUGGUGUAGGCCGGCAGCUGCAGCUCCUAUUCGACCCCUAGCCUGGAAACUUCCAUAUGCCAUGGGUGUGGCCCUAAAAAGGAAGAAAAAAAAAUUCCACUAUGGCUUCUUGGCCAUUUGUGUAAAUGAGGGCUGUAGCCUUCUGUAUAUGUGCUCUCUUUCUCUUUCCUUUCCUUAUCUCUCAUCGUUCUUCUUCUUUUUAAAAAGGCAUUUAAAGAGCAGCUUUAGGUGUAAUGAAAUAGGAAAGUACAGAGAUUUCCCACAUACAGGCAUAUCUUGUUUUAUUGUGCUUUGUCAAUACUGUUUUUUACACAUUGAAGGUCUGUGGCAACCCUUCAUUGAGCAAGUUGAUUGGUGUCAUAUUUUUUCCAACAGCAUUUGCUCAUCUCUUGUCUCUGUGUCAAUUUUUGUAAUGACUGCAGUAUUUCAAACUUUUUUUAUUAUCAUUACAUUUGUUAUGGUGAUUUAUGAUCAGUGAUCCUUGAUGUUAGUAUUGCAGUUAUUUUGGGGAGUCACGAGCCAUGCUCAUAUAAGAUGGUAGGCUUAACCGAUAAAUGUUCCCUGUAUCUCUCUCUCUCCUUGGGCCUUCCUGUUCCCUAAGACACAACAAUAUUGAAAUUAGGCCAGUUAAUAACCUCAGAAUAGUCUCUAAGUAUACAAGUGAAAGGAAGAGUCACAUAUUUCUCACUUUAAAUUAAAAGCUAGAAAUGAUUAAGCUUAGUGAGAAAGGCACAGGGAAAGCUAAGAUAGGCCAAAAGCUAGGCCUCUUUCACCAGUUAACCAAGUUGUGAAUACAAAGGAAAUGUUCUGGAAAGAAAUUAAAAGUGCUACUCCAGGAGUUCCCUGGUGGCUUAGCAUAUGAAGGAUCUAGUGUUGUCACUGCUGUGGCUCUGGUUACUGCCAUAGAGCAGGUUCGAUCCCUGGUCUGGAAACUUCUGCAUGCCUCAAGUGCAGCCCCCCACCCCCAAAAAAAAUGCUACUCCAGUGAACACACAAAUGACAAGAAAGUGAAACAGCUUUAUUGUUGAUGUGGAGAAAGUUUUAGUGGUCCAGAUAGAGGAUCAAACCAGCCAUAACAUGCCCUCCAGUCAGAGUCUAACUCAGAGCAAGGCUUUAACCAUCUUCAAUUCCAUGAAAGCUGAGAGAGGUGUGGAAGCUGCAGAAGAAAAGCUUAAAGCCAGCAGAGGCUGGUAUGAAAUUUAACAUAAAAUUUAAAAUGUCUCCAUAACAUAAAAGUACAAGGUAAAGCAGCAAGAGUUGAUAAUAGAAGCUGCGGCAAAAUUUCCAGAAAAUCUAGCUAAGAUAAUUAAUGAAGGUGGCUACAAGAAAUUUUCACUGUAAACAAAACAGGCUUAUAUUGGAGUAAGAUACCAUCUGGGACUUUCAUAACUAGAGAGGAGAAGUCAUGCCUGGCUUCAAAGGACAGACAGACUCUUGUUAGAGGCUAAUGUAGGUGGUGACUUGAAGUUGAAGCUGGUGCUCAUUUACCAUUUUGAAAAUCCAGUGACCCCCUAAUUCUACUCUGUCUAUGCUCUGGAAAUGAAACAAUAAAGCCCAAAUUCCAGCACAUAUAUUUAUAACAUGAUUUACUAUUUUAAGCCCAUGACUGAGACCUACUGCUCAAAAAAAAUAUUCUUUUAGAAAUAUUACUGCUCAUUGACAAUGCAUCUAGUCACCCAUGAGCUCUGAAGGAGAUGUAUAAUGAGAUUAAUGUUGUUUUCAUGCCUGCUAACUGUCCAUUUUUGUAGCCCAUGGAUCAAGGAGUAAUUUCAACUAUCAAGUCUUAUUAUUUAAGAAAUAUAAUUUCAUAAGGCUAUAGCUGCUGUACAUAGUGAUUCCUCUGAUGGAUCUGGAAAAGUAAAUUGCAAAACUUCUUGAAAGAAUUCACCAUUUAAGAUGCCAUUAAGAACAAUCAUGGAGUUCCCUUGUGGUGCAGUGAGUUAAGGAUCUGGUGUCACUGUAGUGGCUCAGGUUUGAUCCCUGGCUUGGGAACUUCUACAUACUGUAGGCACAGACAAAAAAAAAAAAAAAAAAAAAAAAAA